This 538-nucleotide ribosomal RNA is filed under the name uncultured bacterium. RNAcentral's name for it is "bacterial SSU rRNA". It matches the Rfam family "Bacterial small subunit ribosomal RNA", at positions 34 to 605 of the family's 1533-position model. The record is from RNAcentral.
CGCUGGCGGGCGCCUACACAUGCAAGUCGAACGAGAAAGUGGAGCAAUCCAUGAGUAAAGUGGCGUACGGGUGAGUAACACGUGGAUCAUCUACCUUCUAGUGGGGGAUAACCCUGGGAAACCGGGGCUAAUACCGCAUAAGCUCGAGAGAGGAAAGCAGCAAUGCGCUGGAAGAGGAGUCCGCGGCCGAUUACGCUAGUUGGUAGGGUAAGAGCCUACCAAGGCAACGAUCGGUAGCCGGCCUGAGAGGGCACACGGCCACACUGGCACUGAAACACGGGCCAGACUCCUACGGGAGGCAGCAGUGGGGAAUCUUGCACAAUGGGGGCAACCCUGAUGCAGCGACGCCGCGUGAGCGAUGAAGCCCUUCGGGGUGUAAAGCUCUUUCGGCAGGGAAGAUGAUGACGGUACCUGCAGAAGCAGCUGCGGCUAACUACGUGCCAGCAGCCGCGGUAAUACGUAGGCAGCAAGCGUUGUUCGGAGUUACUGGGCGUAAAGGGUGUGUANGCGGUUCUCUAAGUCUGGUGUGAAAUCUCCC